CAGUCGCCACGGGAAAACGGAGGAUCCAAGCGUUAUCCGGAAUUAUUGGGUUUAAAGGGUGCGUAGGCGGAUAGAUAAGUCAGUGGUGAAAGACGGUGGCUCAACCAUCGCAGUGCCGUUGAUACUGUUUAUCUUGAAUAUGGAUGAGGUAGGCGGAAUGUGGCAAGUAGCGGUGAAAUGCAUAGAUAUGCCACAGAACACCGAUUGCGAAGGCAGCUUACCAAGGCAAAAUUGACGCUGAGGCACGAAAGCGUGGGAAUCGAACAGGAUUAGAGACCCCGGUAGUCCCUGUCUCUUAUAC
RNAcentral lists this ribosomal RNA (301 nucleotides) under uncultured bacterium. RNAcentral's name for it is "partial 16S ribosomal RNA". It matches the Rfam family "Bacterial small subunit ribosomal RNA", at positions 509 to 807 of the family's 1533-position model. The record is from RNAcentral.